UAAUGUGGUGCUGAGGUUGAAUGGACCACAGCCAACUCCCUCUGCCUGGGAAGUGAAGAGGAAGAAUGAAUUGUUUUCUAGAGGAGAUGGUGCUGGUUGGAAAGAAAAUGUCCAAAGAGAUCGGUGGAUGUGGAGACUUGGUCUGGCACUUGUGAGCAACAGUGUCCUUCACCAAGGCAGAGAUGUAAAAGACUAUCAAAGAAAGACAGAGUUGAAAGACCAGUUCUUCAGGAAAUCAUGUGCAUAUCAGACUUCAGUUUCUUCAGCCAUUUUUCCAGGGAGCUUCCAGCCUUUGACCUCAGACUGGUGCUGUGUCCUUGAUCCUUCUUGUCCUGCAGCUUCCAGCUUCUUGGACUGAGCAGCUACUGGGUUCACCAGGUCUCUAGUGCAGAGGGCCACUGUGGACUCCCCUACCUCUGAUCUUCACACGGUGGUGUCAUGUGGAGGGGAUUAGAGGCACAAGAAAGAGUGGCAGAGAGAAACUGGGGGCAUGAAUUGUGAUUGGUGAUGGGACAAUGACAGUUUCUCCUCUGCAAUGUCCCUCUGUCAUGCCACUCUGCCUUGGAGCCAGUCAAUGUUGGACUGAAAUCUCUACAAACUCAGAAGGCAUGACUGGGUUGGAACUCAAAACUUCCAUCAAGAAAAUCAAGAUUGUGGAAGAAGAGGACAAUGAUGAUCUGAAAUGACACUGUGGUGAUGGCACUGUCCAGAAGAAAGCCUGUCAUGGGGAACCUAAACUCAUACACUGGCAGUGACAUGGCUUCCUGAGAAUAGUCCGUACUACUCCAAGUAUUAGCUUUUGAUAUUAACAUUCACUUUAAUUUAAAUGUUACAAGUCUUGUUUAUCAUCAUGGUUAUAAAUAAGGACUAAAGAAUAUGAAGAUAGCAGGCUUGUGUAUGUCACCAGGUCACAAGCUCCAAACAAUCCAUCCAAAUUAUCAUACAUCUCUACCUAUUUAGAGACAAAGUUUUGAAGAAACUUAAAGGACCAAGAUCAGAAUUGCCUGACUAAAGUAAGGAUUUCUCUCUCAUCUAUCUAUAUAACGAAAAAUCUCUAUACAGUAUGCCAUCCAACCUUCAAUUCCAUAGAUACAAAUAACAUUUCCUAGGAUUAAUUAAAAAGAUUCUUACAAGACACUUAAGGUAAAUGAUGUUUUACAAAAACCACAGGAAAAAAGUGUAAUUACCAAAGCCAUUCUAGAUGUACUUUGUAACUCAAAAUGAGACAUAUGUUAUAGUAGAUCAAGUAAUCAUCCAUGCAUGCCAAAGGGGAAAAGGCAUGUGGAAAACUACACAAAUGUUUCAGAUGAGUUUUCCUAGAAGCUGAGACCAAGAUGAUAAUUCUUGAACAAGUGUUUUACUCAGAAGAAAUCUAUAAGGAAGGGAGGAAAGCAAGAAUAAUGCAGUAAUAAUGCAGCAAUAAUGUGGUUUCAGUUGAAAACUCACAUUAACUUGGCCUACGGGAGCUCAGAAGUUGAACAGUGUCACAAAGAUAUCCAGCCUUGAAGAAAAGGGGACGAGCUUUUGUAUCCCAAUGUCAUUGGCUGUGAAGUGUCCCAACAGCAUUUCUGGUUGAGGAACUCAUGUUGGCUGAAGGAAGUUCUUCAGAGAAACACUCUUCUAUGAGCUGCCCUCAUAGGCACUGGGCAUGGUUCCAUUGACUGGUGAAGAAAAUCAGGACAAGGCACCAAAAGCAUUUAUUACAAGCUAUCCUUUGCACUGUUCAGAAUCACUUUCUCUUCCCUUUAAGAUCAUGGAAUUUGGGCAUGCUUUCUGUAGCAUUCUGAUUCAGAGACAGGAAUCUCCAAGAUCAAGGUACAACAGGGCCCAGCUUAUGAUGAAGACUUGCUUACAAAUGGCUGCCUUCUUUCUGCAACCUCAUAUGAUCUUUCUUCUGAGCACAUAAAGAGAGAAGGGGAGAGAGGAGCAGAGAAGGAGAGACACUCUCUCUCUUUCUAAAGUCGUUCCCAUACUAUUAAAUUGGGACCACCCUUAUGUCCUCACUUAAUCUUACUUAGCCCCUAAAAGCCCUAUCUGUGUAGUCAUAUUGGGGUUUAGGAAUUGGAGGAGUGCAUACUUCUGUCACAGUAAUGAGUGAGGAAGUUCUUGACUACACUACUAGUGAUAAUAAAAGGAAGAAAAAAGGAAAGGAUUUUCUGUGGUGUGUAUUUUCUCUUUUCUUUUCUUUUCAUCUCUUUUCUUUCUGGUAGUAUUAGAGGUUGAACCCAGGGUCUCACACUGAGCUAGCUACAUGCCUGACUCUUUGUUUUUAUUUUUAUUUGAUACAGGUCCUUGCUAAUUUGCUGUUGCCUAGCUUGGGCUCAGACUUGCAAUUCUCCUGACUUAGCCUCUCAGAGUGCUGGGAACACAAGCAUGCACCACCAUACCAAGCUUAGUGUGACUAUUUUACAUUUUAUUUUGUAAGGUUAUGGAGAUUUUGUUAUUCUUGUAAGAUGAGGAAAGACAGUAGUAGGCUGAGGAAAGACAGUAGGGAAAGGGAGAAGUAGAAGACACAGAAGGUAAUUGAUGGGAACAAUUAUA
Molecule: long non-coding RNA, 2541 nt
Filed under: Heterocephalus glaber (naked mole-rat)
Lineage: Eukaryota; Metazoa; Chordata; Mammalia; Rodentia; Bathyergidae
Description: lncRNA (ENSHGLG00000031964.1)
Source: RNAcentral